Molecule: unclassified non-coding RNA, 1359 nt
Filed under: uncultured Neocallimastigales
Lineage: Eukaryota; Fungi; Neocallimastigomycota; Neocallimastigomycetes; Neocallimastigales
Description: partial contains internal transcribed spacer 1, 5.8S ribosomal RNA, internal transcribed spacer 2, and large subunit ribosomal RNA
Rfam family: Eukaryotic large subunit ribosomal RNA (bases 597-1359)
Source: RNAcentral
AAAAUAAUCCUACCCUUUGUGAAUUUUGUUUGUUUGAAUAAUUUUUUUUUUAAAAAAUUAUUGGAGUCUUUCCCUUUAGAGUUUGCUUUUGAGUUUGUAAAAGAAUUCGAAAACAUCUAAAGGGGAUGGUCAAUAAUUUUUUUUGAAAAAAAGACAUUUUUUAAAAUUAAACUUUUUGUAUUCAUUUGUCUAAAAAUUAUUUUUAUAAUAUAAAAACAACUUUUGACAAUGGAUCUCUUGGUUAUCGCAACGAUGAAGAACGCAGCAAAAUGCGAUAAGUAGUGUGAAUUGCAGAAUACGUGAAUCAUCGAAUCUUUGAACGCAUAUUGCACUUUUUUAGUUUACUAAAAAAGUAUGUCUGUUUGAGUAUCAGUAAAAUAUUCUCAUAAAAAUCAUUGUGAAUUUUUAUGGUUAUGAGUGUUUUACAACGAUACAAGUUGUUUCACUUUAAAUUUUUUUUUAAUAUUGAAAUUUUUCUAAUUUUAAUAAUUAAAAUUGGAUAAAAUUUUCCCGUCAAAAGGAAUAACCUAAACAAUUUUAAACGAUUAAUUUUAGCAAAAUUUUCGUAAAAAAGGAAAAUUUUUAUUAAAAUAACUUGAUCUCAAAUCAGAUAAGAGUACCCGCUGAACUUAAGCAUAUCAAUAAGCGGAGGAAAAGAAACUAACAAGGAUUCCCUUAGUAACGGCGAGUGAAGCGGGAAGAGCUCAAAUUUGAAAUCUUCAGGGUUUUACCUUGACGAAUUGUAGUUUAAAGAAGUGUUUUCUGCUGAAGUUUUGGUAAAGGUUCUUUGGAAUAGGACAUCAUAGAGGGUGAGAAUCCCGUAUUUGACCAUUAUUUUCAGCUUUGUGAUACACUUUCAAAGAGUCGGAUUGUUUGGGAAUGCAGUCCAAAAUGGGUGGUAAAUUUCAUCUAAAGCUAAAUAUUGGCGAGAGACCGAUAGCGAACAAGUACCGUGAGGGAAAGAUGAAAAGAACUUUGAAAAGAGAGUUAAACAGUACGUGAAAUUGUCAAAAGGGAAGCGUUUGACACCAGUGUUGUUUUCUCGAAAAUCAAUUAAAAAUGGCUCGAUUUUGUAUUGCUGAGACCUUAAAAGCUCACUGUACAUUUUUCGUGUCUUUUUUAAUGCACUUUUCGUUUAACAAGUCAACAUCAGUUUCUUUUGUUGUAAAAGGGUCAUUGGAAGGUGGCUUUCUUUUCGGAGAAAGUGUUUAUAGCCUUUGGCCUCUGCAAUCGAGAGACUGAGGUCUGCAGCGUAGACUCUUCGGGGUUAGAUACAUUUGUGCUAAGUUAUAGCUUUUAUAGACAACUUGUUGACUAUAAUUAGUCUUGUAGCUUACUCGCUUAUGCUAUUUUACCUAC